This 45-nucleotide non-coding RNA is filed under the name Schistosoma margrebowiei. The record is from RNAcentral. Lineage: Eukaryota; Metazoa; Platyhelminthes; Trematoda; Strigeidida; Schistosomatidae.
AUUCAGUUGACGAGUCCCAAAUAGGACGUAACGCGUGUCCUGUAC